RNAcentral lists this ribosomal RNA (234 nucleotides) under uncultured bacterium. Its description in RNAcentral is "partial 16S ribosomal RNA". It matches the Rfam family "Bacterial small subunit ribosomal RNA", at positions 116 to 334 of the family's 1533-position model. The record is from RNAcentral.
CGUGGGUAAUCUGCCUCGAAGUUUGGGAUAACCUUCCGAAAGGUUGGCUAAUACCGGAUAAGCUCACGGGAUCCUCGGAUUCUGUGGGAAAAGGUGGCCACUAUUUAUAAGCCAUCACUUUGAGAUGAGCCCGCGGCCCAUCAGCUAGUUGGCGGGGUAACGGCCCACCAAGGCUACGACGGGUAGCUGGUCUGAGAGGACGAUCAGCCACACUGGAACUGAGACACGGUCCAG